UGAGCAAUCUGCCCUUCUCAUCGGAAUAACCAUUGGAAACGUUGGCUAAUACCGAAUAUGACUUCGGAUCGCAUGAUCUGAAGUGGAAAGCUCCGGCGGUGAAGGAUGAGCUCGCGGCCUACCAGCUUGUUGGUGAGGUAAUAGCUCACCAAGGCGA
This 157-nucleotide ribosomal RNA is filed under the name uncultured bacterium. RNAcentral describes it as "partial 16S ribosomal RNA". It matches the Rfam family "Bacterial small subunit ribosomal RNA", at positions 118 to 276 of the family's 1533-position model. The record is from RNAcentral.